AACGAACGCUGGCGGCAUGCCUAACACAUGCAAGUCGAACGAACCCUUCGGGUCUUGUCGCGCCCGAGGUCGUCACGCGUGGGAACCUUCCCUUGUGUUUGGAAUAACUCCCCGACAGGGGUGCUAAUACCGGACCAUGUCUUCUGACCGAAGAUUUAUCGCGUUUGGUUGGGCACUCGUUGAAUUAGCUUGUGGGGAGGGUUAUAGCCUACCAAGGGGACGAUUAAUAGCUGGGCUGAGAGGAUGGUCAGCCACACUGGGAGUGGGACACGGCCCGGACUCCUACGGGAGGCAGCAGUGGGUGACAUUGGACAGUGGGCGGAAGCCUGAUCCAGCAAUGCCGCGUGAGUGAUGAAGGCCUUAGGGUUGUAAAGCGCUUUUACCCGGGAUGAUAAUGACAGUACCGGGAGAAUAAGCUCCGGCUAACUCCGUG
Molecule: ribosomal RNA, 433 nt
Filed under: uncultured bacterium
Lineage: Bacteria
Description: partial 16S ribosomal RNA
Rfam family: Bacterial small subunit ribosomal RNA
Source: RNAcentral